AUUUAAAUAGUUUAACUAAAAUAUUGAUUUGUGGUAUCAAUGAUGUGAAUUAUUUCAUUUUAAAUC
RNAcentral lists this transfer RNA (66 nucleotides) under Rivellia apicalis. RNAcentral describes it as "tRNA-His". Lineage: Eukaryota; Metazoa; Arthropoda; Insecta; Diptera; Platystomatidae. The record is from RNAcentral.